UCCGGCUUAACGCCGGCAGUCCCCCCAGAGUCCCCGGCCGAACCGCUGGCAACUGGAAGCGAGGGUUGCGCUCGUUGCGGGACUUAACCCAACAUCUCACGACACGAGCUGACGGCAGCCAUGCAGCACCUUGCACUCUGCCAAGUUUUACCUUGGAAGCCCCAUCUCUAGGGUUGUCAGAGGCAUUCUAGCCCAGGUAAGGUUCUUCGCGUUGCAUCGAAUUAAACCACACGCUCCGCUGCUUGUGCGGGCCCCCGUCAAUUCCUUUGAGUUUCAGCCUUGCGGCCGUACUCCCCAGGCGGGGCACUUAAUGCGUUAGCGCCGGCACCCGGAGGGUCGCUCCCCCGGGCACCUAGUGCCCAUCGUUUACGGCGUGGACUAC
This 382-nucleotide unclassified non-coding RNA is filed under the name uncultured bacterium. RNAcentral describes it as "contains 16S-23S intergenic spacer region". The record is from RNAcentral.